RNAcentral lists this ribosomal RNA (446 nucleotides) under uncultured bacterium. Its description in RNAcentral is "partial 16S ribosomal RNA". It matches the Rfam family "Bacterial small subunit ribosomal RNA", at positions 338 to 795 of the family's 1533-position model. The record is from RNAcentral.
CCUACGGGAGGCAGCAGUCGAGAAUCAUUCACAAUGGGGGAAACCCUGAUGGUGCGACGCCGCGUGGGGGAAUGAAGGUCUUCGGAUUGUAAACCCCUGUCAUGUGGGAGCAAAUUAAAAAGAUAGUACCACAAGAGGAAGAGACGGCUAACUCUGUGCCAGCAGCCGCGGUAAUACAGAGGUCUCAAGCGUUGUUCGGAAUCACUGGGCGUAAGGCGUGCGUAGGCUGUUUCGUAAGUCGUGUGUGAAAGGCGCGGGCUCAACCCGCGGACGGCACAUGAUACUGCGAGACUAGAGUAAUGGAGGGGGAACCGGAAUUCUCGGUGGAGCAGUGAAAUGCGUAGAUAUCGAGAGGAACACUCGUGGCGAAGGCGGGUUCCUGGACAUUAACUGACGCUGAGGCACGAAGGCCAGGGGAGCGAAAGGGAUUAGAUACCCGGGUAGUC